This is a non-coding RNA of Equus caballus (horse), 121 nucleotides long. Lineage: Eukaryota; Metazoa; Chordata; Mammalia; Perissodactyla; Equidae. The record is from RefSeq and is marked provisional.
AUGCCCAAUGGCCCCAUGCGGAUAACCAGUGGUCCCUUUGAGCCUGACCUUUACAAGUCUGAGAUGGAGGUCCAGGACGCAGAGCUCAAGGUUAGUGUGGGAUGAAAGUGGUGAGCAAGUG